UACGUAGGGAGCAAGCGUUGUCCGGAAUCAUUGGGCGUAAAGCGCGUGUAGGCGGUUCGGUAAGUCCGCUGUGAAAGUCGGGGGCUCAACCCUCGAAAGCCGGUGGAUACUGUCGGACUAGAGUGCGGAAGAGGCGAGUGGAAUUCCUGGUGUAGCGGUGAAAUGCGCAGAUAUCAGGAGGAACACCGGCGGCGAAGGCGGGUCUCUGGGCCGAUACUGACGCUGAGGAGCGAAAGCGUGGGGAGCGAACAGG
Molecule: ribosomal RNA, 253 nt
Filed under: uncultured bacterium
Lineage: Bacteria
Description: partial 16S ribosomal RNA
Rfam family: Bacterial small subunit ribosomal RNA
Source: RNAcentral